UUCCCCUUCCCAGCCCCCCCCCACCCCCCGACACCUCCCGUCCGGAGCCGCCCUGCCUCCUAGGCUCCUACACCUCCCAUCCGGCGGCGCACCGCCUCCUUCUCCUACCAUCCGAAGCCGCCCCGCCUCCUACUCCUCCCGUCCGGCGCCGACCCGCAACGCCGCCCAGCAACGGCCCCGGCCCCGCCCCGCUCCAGCCAUGGCCACUGCCCCCGCCAUGUGCUCGCUGGCAUCAAUGGCCCCCGCCUGACCCCUCACCGCCGAUGGCCUAGAUCCUCCCCAAACCGGCCGGAUCCGAGGCUCUCUGGCUUCAAUGUGUGGCUUUGUCGCGCGGGUGGGCAGGGGGAGAGGCAUGUGCGCCACCGCAAGUUGGACGUUGUGGUGCCCCUGACCUCAACCUCCGCCUCGUUCCUCCACCUUCAGGCCAGAUCCGCCGCCACACAAUGGAUCCAGCUCCCCUGCCCCUAUUUCUCCUCGCCGGGCAAGGUGCCAGGGCUUCUCCCUAGCCGGCCAUCCUCUGUUCCCCUUUUCCUCUUUCCCCCUUCGCCGCUGGAGCAGCACGGGCGCGGCGGUGCAGUGCACUAUGACUCCACGUGCAGUGCUCUACGACUCCACAUGCAGUGCAGAUCGAUUAUUGCUCGCCUACCGUUCAAUCGUAGUAGAUCCCAGCCAGGAGUCGUCGCCCUACCUGUUGUAUCCUCUAAUUAACUCUGUAGUUCGCUUUGUAUGAUCGAUGGCUGUUUGGCAAGAAGUGCAGUUCCCACCUCCUCCCCCGACGGCACUCCUUGUGGCCUCAGCUGGCUUCCCCACCCUCCUCUUUCCCUCCCGGCACCGUCCUGCAGUUCUCUCCAUGUGCGGAUGCAGCCCAAAACCACGCGCAUGCAGCUCGCUAUCGCGACGCGUAAGGCGCACACUCUCGCGUGGGAGCUUGCGUGCAUGCUUGGCGGGCGGGCGUGAUGGAUGGAUCACUAGCUAGCUAGCUUGGCUUUGCUUUCUGAACCUCAUGAAUCCAUCGUUGAUGCACUUUGUGCGUUCUGCAGGUUGGAUAACGGAGCACUGACUUCAAGGCGUGUGUGGUGGAGAGCGGCAAGAAAGAAGCAGAUCCGAUGCAUGCAUGGGGGUGAAGUGCCCGGUGGUGUGCGACGAGGCCGUGGUGCAGCAGCUCCUCGCUCUCAAGUACCCCGACACGGCCACGCGCUUCGACCGUUUCCUCCUGAAGUCGUACCUCAAGAACAACGACUCGGCGAAGUGGUGCCCGAGCAUCCCGCACUGCGGCCGCGCUACACCGAGGUGGAGUGCCCCUGCGGCCUAGGGCUACAUCGUUGUCUGUGUUUUGCGUGGUAGCCGGCUUGGGGCCUAUGUUAUUGUACAAUGUAAAAAUAGCAUGAAAAUGAAGUGCACUUCUGUUGUAUCCAAGUGCAAAAACAAAAUUGGGAGAAAGUAAAUUGGAAAGGGCUGACUUUUAAUGCA
This is a non-coding RNA of Triticum urartu, 1470 nucleotides long. The record is from RefSeq and is a predicted model, not a curated record. Lineage: Eukaryota; Viridiplantae; Streptophyta; Magnoliopsida; Poales; Poaceae.